Gadus macrocephalus (Pacific cod) is the source of this 704-nucleotide long non-coding RNA. RefSeq lists it as uncharacterized. The record is from RefSeq and is a predicted model, not a curated record. NCBI's taxonomy places the organism in Eukaryota, Metazoa, Chordata, Actinopteri, Gadiformes, Gadidae. The transcript is spliced from 2 exons.
GCUACUCAAAACCAACUGAGUCAUGCAGUAUUGUCUGUGAUGUUGUUGUGCCAAGCAGAGGGAGGUGUCUGGACAGUCGACUUUCUUGAUUCUUUAAAUUUUUUAUGUUUUGGUUUAAUCAUGAGUAACCUAAUGAGUUUGUUAUUUUCUUUAUUAUAGUGGCCUACACCUGGUUUACUUGUGUAUGAUUUGAAUUGACUUGUCUAUUGCCUUUAAUGCUUUCUUUCAUUGAUUUAGUUAAUUGUUAAUGGUUUACCAGUAGAUACACUGAAUUCUCAUUUUUUUGGGUGAUCUUUAAACUACAUUUAGUAUGAUCAAGAGGGAGGAAUGUAGAAUAUUGGUGUAUUUUAGUGUCUCUCUUUUGUUCACAUUUCUAGUCUAGGAACAGGCCAGGGCCUCUCUUACUGAUACAAGGUGUUCCUCAACAUUCUGCCAUUGUUAUGUCUCAACAAGGUUGAACCGACCUGGUCCUCCGGGACAUAGCCAGGGCCAGAUACCUUAUCAAUGCUGAGAGUGCGUCUGUUUUCGUGUUAUUCAUGUAUCCCCUUUUUGUAUAAUACUCGCCCCAACCCUUUGGUUCGACGAGAAGAGGGGUUCGACAGCCAAGGAACAAGUCAUCGACCACCGGGUCCACUAUAGAUUAUUCAACCUAAGUCUGUAUCUCGCUGUACAUCCUGGAAUAAACCAUCUAUUCAACCCUCUAA